Molecule: long non-coding RNA, 1558 nt
Filed under: Panax ginseng (ginseng)
Lineage: Eukaryota; Viridiplantae; Streptophyta; Magnoliopsida; Apiales; Araliaceae
Description: long non-coding RNA (PGIN_LNC006244)
Source: RNAcentral
UUUAUUCUUUUCUUUGGCAGUAGAGGGGGAAAAAUGGGGUUUUCAAUUAUUUCGGCCGAUUGCAGAGCUUAUGAUCUUGUCUGUUCUGUCCAACUAAAAUUGUCUCAUCUCUAUGCAUAUUUUGUGUUCUAAAGAAAGCUAUAGAUGGUUUGUGGGGGGCAAUUUAGAAUCCAUAAGUGUGGAUGUGAGAGGUAGAGCAUUGGUAUCAUCUAUUUAGGUGGUUCUUUAGCCCAUUCAACACUUUCACCUGAUAAAGCUUGUUCUGUAUCUGGUCCUGUUCUCAUGAUUGCUAAUAUACCAAGUCCCUCAGUUAUGUUGACUAGGUCUUAAAUAGGUUAUGUCACCUUAAUGCAGUCAGUUUCCUUUUUUAGCCAAAAUCCCUGGAGUGUCUUUAACCUUUAAUAUCGGAAAGUUAAUGUGGUCAAAACAUCUAUAGAUUUACGCUAGUUAUGUGUGAUAUUUACAUGUUCUGAGAUUGUUUUUCUAGCUGAAAUCCUGUGGAAUAUCCUUUAUAUAUAUGUGUUUUAUAUAAAUAUGUGUGUGUGUAUAGCAUGUGUGUGUGUGUAUAUAUAUAUAUAUAUAUAUAUAUAUAUAUAUAUAUAUAUAUUGUUGUUCUGCUUUUAAUAUGACAUGUGGCGACGCCUACUUUGCGCUUCACCUUGUAUUUCCAAGUUUCAUUCAAGUCUUAAGGACAAUAUCCCAGGAAUUUAGAAAUGAUUUAAUAUAUAGACCAGCAAGGCUUCUGCUGAUUGGUUCUUAGUGGUUAAGUAGGUAGUGCUGAUGGUGGCAUCUAUUGAUAACUUUCUUUAUAUAAAACUCUUUAUCUGGUAUUAUCCGUAAUAAAUCAAAUCUAGAACUACUACAUACAUAUGAAAAUCAAAAAGCGAACUUGAGGUGUCAACUUUUGAUGAGAACAGUGACAAAUUGAAUAUUUAGGUGUAAAUGAUGGUUUAACUAAAUUAUAUAGGCAAAACUGUUGAUUCUCCUUGAAUAGUAGGCAGAUUGUGUAGUUGAAUAGGAUGAAUAUUUUAAGCAUGAUUGGUUGAAUUAGGAAAUAUAUAAUGUACUAAUUUAGAGAUAUAGAACACAUCAUGUGAUUCGUCAUGUUCCAUAUAUAUAUAUAGCAUAUAGAAUCCAGGUAACGGUAUAAUAUAUUCCACCUUUUUACUUUAUUCUUUAGUGUUUGUAUAUUUUUAAUGAGACAUCUCGAUUUUAUAUGCAGGUCUCGGCAACUCGUCUAGGUUGCAUGCCAACAGAAAUUUAGGCAUUUAGUCAGGAUCGGUGGAUACCUGCCCCACCAAUUAAUGGAAGAGGUUAAGAGUGGUAAGAUGUAUAUUUGUAGUUUUACAAAUUACUAUUACCUUGGAUGUUCUGCUAUUUUUUGGACGUGUAGAGAAUCCUGUAAUGCACCUAUGAGUUACUUACCUCUAUUAGUUAAAAUGGUUCACGUGGGCUGCACAUGAGGUUCAUAGUUUGAAUUUGAAUAUGAAUAUAAUGUUGUGAAAACUUUGGUGGUGACAGUCAGUACUAUUUGGCUAUGAAUGUUAGUACUAUUGAG